RNAcentral lists this ribosomal RNA (500 nucleotides) under Hyperolius sp. A 'spotted'. RNAcentral describes it as "partial 16S ribosomal RNA". It matches the Rfam family "Bacterial large subunit ribosomal RNA", at positions 1942 to 2610 of the family's 2925-position model. Lineage: Eukaryota; Metazoa; Chordata; Amphibia; Anura; Hyperoliidae. The record is from RNAcentral.
CUAACCGAGCAAAGGUAGCAUAAUCAAUUGUCCCUUAAAUCAGGACUAGUAUGAAUGGCGCCACGAGGGUUUAACUGUCUCCCCCCUUUAAUCAAUGAAAUUAACCUUUCCGUGAAGAUGCGGAAAUAAAAUUAUAAGACGAAAAGACCCCAUGGAGCUUUAAACUUAUUACCACUUAUUUAACAACACAGCAACACACAAAAUAAGAAUGCUCUUCAAUAGUUUUUGGUUGGGGCGACCCUGGAGAAAAAUAAAUCCUCCAGAUUGAAAAUAAUUAUUAUAUAAGAACCACAGUUCAAGUAAACAAAAAUUUGACAAAACUGACCCAGAAUAAACUGAUCAGUGAACCAAGUUACCCUGGGGAUAACAGCGCAAUCCAUUUUAAGAGUCCUUAUCGACAAAUGGGUUUACGACCUCGAUGUUGGAUCAGGGUAUCCUGGCAGCGCAGAUGUUGCUAACGGUUCGUUUGUUCAACGAUUAAUACCCUACGUGAUCUGAGU